Molecule: ribosomal RNA, 870 nt
Filed under: uncultured archaeon
Lineage: Archaea
Description: bacterial SSU rRNA
Rfam family: Archaeal small subunit ribosomal RNA
Source: RNAcentral
GUUGAUCCUGCCGGAGGCCACUGCUAUCAGAGCUCGAUUAAGCCAUGCGAGUCGAGAGGUGCAAGACCUCGGCAUACUGCUCAGUAACACGUGGACAAUCUAACCUACGGAAGGGGAUAACCCCGGGAAACUGGGGAUAAUACCCUAUAGACUAUGGAUGCUGGAAUGCUCUGUAGCCGAAAGGUCCGCCGCCGUAGGAUGGGUCUGCGGCCGAUUAGGUUGUUGUUGGGGUAACGGCCCAACGAGCCUGUAAUCGGUACGGGUUGUGGGAGCAAGAGCCCGGAGAUGGAUUCUGAGACACGAAUCCAGGCCCUACGGGGCGCAGCAGGCGCGAAAACUUUACAAUGCGGGAAACCGUGAUAAGGGAACUCUGAGUGCCCGUUAAAUCGGGCUGUCCAUCAGUUUAAAAAGCUGGUGAAGAAAGGGCCGGGCAAGACCGGUGCCAGCCGCCGCGGUAAUACCGGCGGCUCGAGUGGUGGCCACUAUUACUGGGCUUAAAGCGUUCGUAGCUGGUUUGUUAAGUCUCUGGGGAAAUCUUCCGGCUUAACCGGAAGGCGUCUCAGGGAUACUGGCAGACUAGGGACCGGAAGAGGUGAGAGGUACUCCAGGGGUAGGAGUGAAAUCCUGUAAUCCUUGGGGGACCACCUGUGGCGAAGGCGUCUCACCAGGACGGCUCCGACAGUGAGGGACGAAAGCUGGGGGAGCAAACCGGAUUAGAUACCCGGGUAGUCCCAGCCGUAAACGAUGUGCGUUAGGUGUAUCGGUGACCACGAGUCACCGAGGUGCCGAAGAGAAAUCGUGAAACGUACCGCCUGGGAAGUACGGUCGCAAGGCUGAAACUUAAAGGAAUUGGCGGGGGAGCACCACAAC